Pan troglodytes (chimpanzee) is the source of this 1343-nucleotide long non-coding RNA. RefSeq lists it as uncharacterized. NCBI's taxonomy places the organism in Eukaryota, Metazoa, Chordata, Mammalia, Primates, Hominidae. The record is from RefSeq and is a predicted model, not a curated record. The transcript has 6 exons.
AUCGCAGGGUGGGGAGGCACCCCCCGCGAGGCGGGGACUCAGAGGUAGCCCCUCUUUCCCUCCUGGCUCUUAGGACCCCAAUCGCAGGCGGGGAGGCACCCACCGCGAGGAGGGUAGUGAGAGCCAGCCCCUCUUCCCCCCCCUGGCUCUUAGGACCCCCGUCGCAGGAGGGGAGGCACCCCCCACGAGGCGGGGACUGAGUGCCGGCCACUCUUUCCCCCCUGGCUCUUAGGACCACCAUCGCAGAGGCAGGAGGCACCCCCCGCGAGUAUUUUAUUUAUUAGGUUGAAUCGUUCAAGCUGCAGUCCAGUAGGGAAGGUGUCCCUGGGUAGAAACAAGUUGUCACUAAAGCAGGCUUAACAGGAAGCAUGACUGUGAGGCCUCAGGAAACUUAAAAUCAUGGCAGAAGGUGGAAGAGAUGCAAGGACCUUCUUCACAAUGGCAGCAGGAGAAAGACACAGAGAGAGAGAGAGCACAAAGGGGAAUAUCGAGAGGACAUUCAAAUAGAGAGGAAUUGUUACCUUACCCCUCAUGCAAGCCUGAACCUGAAGAGCACUCCUUUGGUGGUGAUGCAGUUGCCCUGAAGUGUUCCAGAAAGACCGUUUACAGGAGGAGAAAGCCCUGAGAGCUAUUCUACCGUGUAUGCUGCUGCUCCUCUGGGUCUAGCCGUACAGUGGGGCUGCCACACUUCAUGUGGGUGCUUCGGAAUGUCUGCAAGGGAUCCAGUGAUGUUACCUGUCCUCAAGUCUGUUUAUAGUUACACCCAUGCUGGGGUCCCAUGAGAGAAUUCCCAGCUGUGUCUGUAGUGAUGAAUGAGUGGGAAAAGAAGUCCCCUUCUCCCAGACGUCUCACAAGUAUCAGGGCUGCCUGACUAUUUGGAUAGAGCUGCAGGUACCCACAGCAGUGGGUACCAACACCAGCUCUGAUGGAGGUGACAGGUAUCAAGAAUGGUGCUUCCUUCAUGAAUAGUACAGGCCUUGCCAACGGAUGAAAUUGACAGAAAUAAGAGGCAAUUAUUUAAUUUACUUUGGAGGUUGAGAGAGACUUUUCUUAAACACACAAUAAAUGCAUCAUAGGGGCUCAGAUGUUUCUGGCAAGAUUAUGAAGAUAGACUGAUUGGUGUUCAUGUAUUGUGAUGGUAGAGACUGAGAUCAGCAAAAUAUUAUGUAUGCAGUUGACAUCUUACACGAAGAAUUUGGAGUAUGGACAUUACAUGAUUGUCUCUCAGCCACCCUAUGGAAAACAGAAUUGUCUGGCUCUACCUACCUGGAAUUUCAACCCAUAAAUUUAACUCAAUUAUUUGUAGCAGAGGUUCUUAAAUAAAGCAGCAUUAUUUAGAAUUA